Long non-coding RNA from Carya illinoinensis, 892 nucleotides. RefSeq lists it as uncharacterized. The transcript is spliced from 4 exons. NCBI's taxonomy places the organism in Eukaryota, Viridiplantae, Streptophyta, Magnoliopsida, Fagales, Juglandaceae. The record is from RefSeq and is a predicted model, not a curated record.
ACAACCUUUGUCAUUGAAAGUAAAAGUGUUCUAUAAAGUCACUUGAAAGCCUCCACUAUGAAAAUUCUCAGGUUUCUAACAAGUUAAAGCUAACAAUAAUUAAUGAGAUUUUUGCUUUUUUCAAAGCAAGGGAAGUGCUCUACCAUCAGUUUAAGAGCCUGUAACAUUUUUCUACCUUGAGAAGGACAUUACACCAUACACAUCCACAUUACAGGCCUUUGUCAAAGCUCAAAAAUCCAAGGCCUACUUCAAGCGAUUUGAAGUCAAGUUUAAGAGAAGGCGAGAGGGGAAGACUGACUAUCGGCCCGGAUUCUCUUAAUUCAUCACGAUAAGAACAAGUGAUUACUAGAAGGAGCUUCUUUGUGAAUAUAACUGUGUGGUGUUUAGGAUGUGGUAUCAGUUCCAAGACUCGGGCCAGCUCACCACCUGUGAGGAGAAUAACUGCCACGAAAGACGAGGAAGUUAACGAAAUGGAAUAUGGAUUGCCCUCUUCUCAUUCUCUUAACACGGUUUGCUUAUCUGGGUACUUCAUUUUGGGCCGCCCUAGGUCUCUUGUUGCUGUUUGCUUAUCCAACCCCUGAGCUUCCAACACCAUACUUUUGUUCUUGCAUCGUGUUUUUGGUGGAGUUGCAUCCAGAGGGUUGUCAAAGGAUUCGUUGAAGAUGUUUCUCUUUUUGCAAAAAUUUGGAUUGGAUCUCACAAUAUUCAUUCAUGUCCUGUGGUUGGCAAUGUAAGGAAACAGAGAGGCUAUGUAUUUAGAAAACUCAUAUAAAUAGUUCUUGUAUAAUUGGAUUUUGCCAUUUUGGUAUGUGGUUGCCAAGUAUGCCUUGAUCUUUGUAUAUCUCGAGAGAGACAAGAUCGCUACAUUUGAAUGAUUUUAAGUUAGAUAUAA